This 256-nucleotide ribosomal RNA is filed under the name uncultured bacterium. RNAcentral's name for it is "partial 16S ribosomal RNA". It matches the Rfam family "Bacterial small subunit ribosomal RNA", at positions 1243 to 1500 of the family's 1533-position model. The record is from RNAcentral.
AGGGAAGCAAGACCGCGAGGUGGAGCAAAUCCCUAAAAGCCAUCCCAGUUCGGAUUGCAGGCUGCAACCCGCCUGUAUGAAGUUGGAAUCGCUAGUAAUCGCGGAUCAGCAUGCCGCGGUGAAUACGUUCCCGGGCCUUGUACACACCGCCCGUCACACCAUGAGAGUCGGGAACACCCGAAGUCCGUAGUCUAACCGCAAGGGGACGCGGCCGAAGGUGGGUUCGAUAAUUGGGGUGAAGUCGUAACAAGGUACC